UGAUCUUAUCAAAUUCGGUUCAGAUUCAAUCAUUGGUGUUGGUUCUUCUACCUGUUGAACUUCAUCAAGCUCGAUGUUAGAGGCACUUAUUCCUUUACUAAGGAAUUUUUUUUUCAAAAAAUAUUUUUUAUUACUGACAAAUACCUUUUAUUUAGCAGGCAGAUAAAAGUAAAAUCCUCUUAUUUUCUUAGGGUACCCUAUAGAGUUACAUUUAUCAGACCUAAGACUGAGUUUGUCAGUUUGUAAACAUUUAACAUAAGUUGGAUACCCCCAGACCCUAA
RNAcentral lists this long non-coding RNA (281 nucleotides) under Elaeis guineensis (African oil palm). RNAcentral's name for it is "long non-coding RNA (EGUI_LNC064204)". The record is from RNAcentral. Lineage: Eukaryota; Viridiplantae; Streptophyta; Magnoliopsida; Arecales; Arecaceae.